This 712-nucleotide long non-coding RNA is filed under the name Homo sapiens (human). RNAcentral describes it as "HSALNT0242296". Lineage: Eukaryota; Metazoa; Chordata; Mammalia; Primates; Hominidae. The record is from RNAcentral.
CCCGGAGGAGCUGGGAGACUUUCACCCUCCUUGACACCCUCCCCUGAAUUCUGAGUGUGGGCACUCAGGCACCUGCCAAGGAAGUUACCACGUCAAAGACCCCAAGGUGUCUCAAGCUCAACUCAUCAAAAUGAACCGAUCAUGUAACCUCAAACCAGCUUCUACUCUCUUCCUUGACUCAGUGAAAAGCCCCCUUGUCCACCCAAGUCGCCCGAGUCAGACAGCCCUAAGCUACCCUUCUUCUCUCUCAGCCCCAGACCCAGUUGGUAAUUCAUGUCCAACUGUCUAGUUGACACCUCCACUUUGAUGUCCACCAGGGGUCUUCAGCCUACAGGUGCUGCAAUCUCCUGAUCUCUCCCACCCCAGAGCUGCUCCUCCCAGUCUUGGUGAACAGUAGCUCCAUUCUUCUAGUUGCUCAGCUGAACCCCUGGAGUCAUUCUUCACUGCUUUCCCUACCAUCCUACAAACGGAUUCAUCCACAAUUCCUGUUAGCUCUACUUUCAAAAAAUAGCUAGACAUACUGAAAUAUUUACGGUGAAGGGAUAUGAUGUUUUGGACUAGGUUCCACAUAAUCCAGGGCAAUAGGGGGAGGGCGUGGAUGGGAUAGAUAUGAAACUAGACUGGCUAUGACUAGGUCAUUGUUGAGGCUGGGUAAUGAGUUCUUGAGUGCAUGAUAGACUACACUUUGCUGUAAUCUCUAAUUUUGAAUCUG